AAUUUUGGACAAUGGGCGCAAGCCUGACCCAGCCAUGCCGCGUUAGUGAAGAAGGCCUUCUGGCUGUAAAGCUCUUUCGGACGGAAAGAAAUCGCCCCGGCUCAUACCCUGCGCGGAUGACGGUACCGUCAUAAUAAGCCCCGGCUCACUACCUUCCAGCAGCCGCGGUAAUACGUAUGGUGCGAGCGUUAAUCGGAAUUACUGGGCGUAAAGCGUGCGCAGGCGGUUGAUUAAGACAGGCGUGAAAUCCCCGGGCUUAACCUGGGAACUGCGCUUGUGACUGGUCAGCUAGAGUACGGCAGAGGGGGGUGGAAUUCCACGUGUAGCAGUGAAAUGCGUAGAGAUGUGGAGGAACACCGAUGGCGAAGGCAGCCCCCUGGGCCGAUACUGACGCUCAUGCACGAAAGCGUGGGUAGCAAACAGG
RNAcentral lists this ribosomal RNA (424 nucleotides) under uncultured bacterium. RNAcentral's name for it is "partial 16S ribosomal RNA". It matches the Rfam family "Bacterial small subunit ribosomal RNA", at positions 360 to 776 of the family's 1533-position model. The record is from RNAcentral.